RNAcentral lists this ribosomal RNA (879 nucleotides) under uncultured eukaryote. RNAcentral describes it as "SSU rRNA". It matches the Rfam family "Eukaryotic small subunit ribosomal RNA", at positions 564 to 1468 of the family's 1831-position model. The record is from RNAcentral.
GUGCCAAGCAGCCGCGGUAAUUCCAGCUCCAAUAGCGUAUAUUUAAGUUGUUGCAGUUAAAAAGCUCGUAGUUGGAUUUUGGGUGCGGCAGGCCGGUCCGCCGUUUCGGUGUGCACUGGCAGGCGGCAUCUUUCUGUCGAGGACGGACUCCUGGGCUUCACUGUCCGGGACCCGGAGUCGGCGCAGUUACUUUGAAAAAAUUAGAGUGUUCAAAGCGGGCCUACGCUUGAAUAUAUUAGCAUGGAAUAACACUAUAGGACUCCUGUCCUAUUCUGUUGGUCUUCGGGAUGGGAGUAAUGAUUAAGAGGAACAGUUGGGGGCAUUCGUAUUUCAUUGUCAGAGGUGAAAUUCUUGGAUUUAUGAAAGACGAACUUCUGCGAAAGCAUUUGCCAAGGAUGUUUUCAUUAAUCAAGAACGAAAGUUGGGGGCUCGAAGAUGAUUAGAUACCAUCCUAGUCUCAACCAUAAACGAUGCCGACUAGGGAUUGGCGGAUGUUCCUUUGAUGACUUCGCCAGCACCUUAUGAGAAAUCAAAGUCUUUGGGUUCCGGGGGGAGUAUGGUCGCAAGGCUGAAACUUAAAGGAAUUGACGGAAGGGCACCACCAGGAGUGGAGCCUGCGGCUUAAUUUGACUCAACACGGGGAAACUUACCAGGUCCAGACAUAGUAAGGAUUGACAGAUUGAGAGCUCUUUCUUGAUUCUAGGGGUGGUGGUGCAUGGCCGUUCUUAGUUGGUGGAGUGAUUUGUCUGGCUAAUCCCGUUAACGAACGAGACCUCAGCCUGCUAACUAGUCACGGCCUUUCUGAAAGGCCGGCGGACUUCUUAGAGGGACUAUUGGCGAUUAGCCAAUGGAAGUUUGAGGCAAUAACAGGUCUGUGAU